CAAGUCGAACGAGAAUCCCUGCUUCGGCGGGUGGACAGUGGCAGACGGCUGAGUAACGCGUGGGAAUCAACCCUAGACACAGGGAUAGCUCAUCGAAAGGUGGGGUAAAACCUGAUAGUCCCAUACAGUUUUUACUGUAUGGGUAAAACUUCGGUGGUCUAGGACGAGCCCGCGUACUAUCAGGUUGUUGGUGAGGUAAAAUGCUCACCAAGCCUAAUGAACGGGUAAGCUGGUUUGAGAGGACGGACAGCCAGACUGGGACUGUGACACGGCCCAGACUCCUACGGGAGGCAGCAAUUAGGAAUCGUGCGCAAUGGACGGAAGUCUGACGCCGCGACGCCGCGUGGAGGAUGAAUGCCUACGGGUUGUAAACUCCUUUUAUGAGGGAACAAGUUUCUGAGUGUACCUCAUGAAUAAGCACCUGCUAACUACGUGCCAGAAGCAUCGGUAAUACGUAGGGUGCGAGCGUUAUCCGGAAUUAUUGGGCGCAAAGAGACGCGUAGGCGACUCGGUAAGUCUGAUGUUAAAUCUCAAUGCUCAACAUUGAGACUGCAUUAGAUACUGUCGUGAUUGAGUAAAGUAGAGGAGAGGGGAAUUCCUGGUGGAGCGGUGCAAUGCGUUGAUAUCAGGAGGAACGCCAAUGGCGAAGGCGUCUCUCUGGACUUAUACUGACGCUGAGGGUCGAAAGUGUGGGUAGCGAAGCGGAUUAGAUACCCGUGUAGUCCACACUGU
RNAcentral lists this ribosomal RNA (732 nucleotides) under uncultured organism. RNAcentral's name for it is "bacterial SSU rRNA". It matches the Rfam family "Bacterial small subunit ribosomal RNA", at positions 58 to 803 of the family's 1533-position model. The record is from RNAcentral.